GGGGAUGACGGGUUUCGACAGGGCAGAGCGAUUAGACGUGGCGAGCCGAGGUGUCCGUCGCCUUCUCGUUAAACAACGGACAAGCCAGUAACUGGCACAACUAGCAGCGCUUACGCUGUUGCCGCUUAAGUAAUUAAGUAGCCGUUCGCCGGCGCCUCACCCCGAUGGGCGCCGGACGGGCGUGAUAAUGUCGGGGUGCUCUGGUACUGCGCCCCGCGGUACCGGCUAAGCUAAGGGGCUGGCGCCUGAAGCACGUUGCCGGCUCGGGCUGAAGGCGCGAGACUUAACGAACCGGAUACGCUCGUAG
Molecule: transfer-messenger RNA, 307 nt
Filed under: Chloroflexota bacterium
Lineage: Bacteria; Bacillati; Chloroflexota
Description: partial transfer-messenger RNA
Rfam family: transfer-messenger RNA
About the family: Bacterial tmRNA, also known as 10Sa RNA or SsrA, is named for its dual tRNA and mRNA-like properties.
Source: RNAcentral